UUUAGAUUUGUUUGGCCAUAAUGAUAAAGUUCUACUCAUGCACAUAGCUCAAUUAAAUGUAAGUGAAGAAAUAAAAAUAAUAUCGAAAGAACAUACAAUAUGCACAUCCCUAUCAACUGCGACGAAACGAAAAGGCGUUAAGCAACAGCUACACCGCACUGACGUCAAAACUUCAUACUGGCAACUGUUGUCACUUGCAAACGAACGGAAGAAAAGAGAAACGGCACAUCAGCCACAGGAUUGCUCAUAAAGUGAACAGAAGUGACACUGCGUGGAUGCCGAAUUUGGCCUGAGUCCCACUGGAGUGCAACAUUGCGGUAGCUGGUGAGGGCGAAAAUUCCUACGGGAAUUAGUCCGAUCGGUUCAGGAAAAAACGGCUUUCGUGCGAUUUCCAACUGCUCGGCGGAUAGAUAGGCAUUCUUCAAGAUUGCGGGGAAAGUUCACUGGCCGCCGAAGCAACUCCGAUACGCAACCCGAUACGAUUCCACCUGGAGGACAAGGACAGGUCCGGAAGGAGCGCUUUUCCCUGGACAGGAUAGUUGCGGCAGGUCUAAGAAGGUCCACGCACGUGCACUUUUGAGAGAGGAUAAACACGAUUCUACGUGUGGAUGAACGAUUCCGUUUGGAAACCGGAUUGGGGAACCAACACCGACUCACGAAGGUUUACAACCACGUACGACCGCUAGACAGGGAGAAGAAAGCCCCUACGGAUUUCACGGUUGGAGGUACAUUUCGGAACCAAAAUCCCACAGGAUUCCGCAUCACACGUACGAAAAGAGCCCCAUUACCGGGUGAGUUGGAAGACGAGGCUUUGGCGAUGGCAGUGGCUAAUUGGCGUUGCCCUUAGGGCUCUUUCUUUUGGUUCUUCUUCCCUAAUCAGGAUUCACCUCAUCCGGG
Molecule: long non-coding RNA, 897 nt
Organism: Aedes aegypti (yellow fever mosquito)
Lineage: Eukaryota; Metazoa; Arthropoda; Insecta; Diptera; Culicidae
Exons: 4
Source: RefSeq, a predicted model, not a curated record